Oncorhynchus masou masou (cherry salmon) is the source of this 3683-nucleotide RNA transcript. It is a transcript of the gene named RNA-binding protein Musashi homolog 2, with no coding region annotated. NCBI's taxonomy places the organism in Eukaryota, Metazoa, Chordata, Actinopteri, Salmoniformes, Salmonidae. The transcript has 16 exons. The record is from RefSeq and is a predicted model, not a curated record.
CUGAGGGAGGGGGCUAAACUGAGCUGAUCCCACGUGUGACGAUUCCGUUCCCGGCUCAGUAAUAUUCUCCCAGUCGGGCUGUGCAUAGCUUUUGCAGUGUCUGUGUGUGUUUGUUACUGUAGUUACUGCCUAUAGUUUGGUUAGCUAUGGAAGGAGACGGGAGUCAAGUUACAUCUGGAAGCCCAAAUGAUUCACAACAUGACCCGGGUAAAAUGUUUAUUGGUGGCCUCAGCUGGCAAACCUCACCAGACAGCCUUAGAGACUAUUUUAGCAAAUUCGGAGAAAUAAGAGAAUGUAUGGUGAUGAGAGACCCCACAACAAAACGUUCCAGAGGAUUUGGAUUCGUUACGUUUGCAGAUGCUGCCAGUGUAGAUAAAGUCUUAGCUCAACCACACCACGAAUUAGACUCAAAGACGAUUGAUCCUAAGGUUGCCUUCCCCCGACGCGCUCAACCCAAGAUGGUCACAAGAACAAAGAAAAUAUUCGUGGGCGGAUUGUCAGCCAACACAGUGGUGGAAGAUGUGAAGCUGUAUUUUGAACAGUUUGGGAAGGUAGAAGACGCCAUGCUUAUGUUUGAUAAAACGACUAACAGACAUAGAGGAUUUGGCUUCAUAACUUUCGAGGGCGAAGACGUCGUAGAGAAAGUCUGUGAAAUUCAUUUUCAUGAAAUCAAUAAUAAAAUGGUAGAAUGUAAGAAGGCCCAGCCCAAGGAGGUGAUGUUCCCACCAGGCACGCGAGGGAGGGCCAGGGGCCUGCCCUACACCAUGGACGCCUUCAUGCUGGGGAUGGGCAUGCUGAGUGAGUAUGGACCAACACUACUCCAGCACAGUCCAGCACAUUACUCAGUCCCACACGGUUACCCGAACAUUGUGGCAACAUACGGUCGUGGAUACACUGGAUUCACCCCCAGUUACAGCUAUCAGUUCCCUGGUUUCCCGGCGACGGCGUACGGACCGGUGGCGGCAGCGGCGGUGGCAGCAGCGCGUGGCUCAGGUAGGGGGGCCCGAGGAAAAGGCGGCUAUAUGGCGUACCCGCAGAACACAGGGCCAGGCUUUCACGAUUACGGGUUUUACUCUGCGCCCAGUGACCAGAGGGGGGCGCCCUGCUCCUUUGCGGACUAUGGCUCCCUGGGGCCCCAGGCGGCUCAGAUGCUGCACAGUGAGCAUGCCACCUCCGCCUGCAACUCCCCCCUCCAGCACCUGCACAGCCCGGAUCAGUUUAAGAGCCCAGGGGGAAACCCAGCUCGUCCUGGAGGCUUCCCAGGUGCCAACAGCCCAGGGCCUGUAGCCGACCUGUACGGCCCUGGAGGCCAGGACUCCAAUGUGGCUAACUACAUCAGUGCUGCCAGCCCCCAGGCUGGCUCCGGCUUCGGCCACAGUAUCGCAGGCCCGUUGAUUGCGACAGCUUUUACAAAUGGAUACCAUUGAACAGGUGUUCGGUUGCCAUCUUAUUGGAGUAACCCUCUAUUUCACCUCACCGUCCUACAAACUUGUACAGCAGAGUCUAUCUGGUGGUCCAGGGAAGACAGACCGAACCUUCUAAUUGGCUCUGUGUACAGGUGAUGUCAUCCAACUUCAAGCACUACAGCAUCACCCAGGAGAAAUGGUGGAACCACAUAAAAAAAAUCAUCUCAGAAAGGAAAGAAAACUGCUGUACCAUAAUCCAAACCUGUAACCUGACAACCUGGUUUGUUAUGACAUUUCUUGAUGAUUUCAUUCACUUUUUUUCCUUCCUUUUAUUCGUUGUUUGAUUAGCUUUACAGGGAGGCAUUUUGGUUUGAUCCUAAUUAUUUGUGUCAUUUUUUGAUUUUUUUCUUGUAGUGUAUGCAAAUGGAUAUGCUUCUCUCUUUCGGGGGUCAUAGUCGAGAAUGUACGAAGUAAUGUGUUCACAUUUGGUACCAAUUCGUUUCAUCGAAAAAGAUCAGAGCUUUAGGUGUCUUUUUGCACAUAAAAGAAAUCCAAAGUGGAAAGUCUUGGAAAAAAACAUCAAUUUCAUUUCAAAUGAAAAUUCGAGAGGGUAACUAACUAAUAAAUCUUAGUAGCUGUUUUUAAUUAUUGUGAUGUCUCAUUGUUAACCAUAAUUACCUAUUUUUGGGCAAUACAAAGAGGACUCCAAUAUUUUUAUGGUCCUUUUUUACAAGUGUUGUUUUUGUUGUUUAGAAAACAAUCUGUAUACUAUAAAACAUUUCAUAUAAAUACAUUGUGAAUUCAAAGACUUAAGAAAAAUAAAUGUAACUGUAAAUACUAUUCCAGUCAUUGCAUAUAACCAACUCCAUGAGAGAAUAGCAUAUUUUUGUGAUGGUGUGUCAAAGAAAUGUUCUAGCGCGUGAAUAGGAAAAAAAGCUCUAAACAAAUACUAUUAUCCUUUACUGCUCAGAGACAGUGACUACCCUAGUGAUGGACACAACAUAUUUCAACACUGAUGGCUUGCUCUGUAAAUACUCAAGCUGAAUACAUUUACAAGUGUCAAACCAGUGCAUUUACAAGUGGUGAGUUCAACGCACAGUUUUAAAAUGGAUAAAAGAUCAUCUGUAUCUUUUGUCUAACCAAGUGUUAUUUAAGAGAUCAAUAUUAUUUGAGUGAUCAUUUAAUCCAAAGCACACAGUACUUAGUGUUGAAGAAUAGAACUUGAGCCUAAGCAUUUUACAGUACUCUGCGCAUCCAGACACUUUUAUACUCCUGAGAGAAAACCUCAACUUGUUGUUUGUUGUUUUGUUGUUGUUGUUUGUUUCCUCCUGCUUGUUCCUCUUAAGUUUGGGACUCCAUCAGUUCUCUUUUCAAUGAAUUAGGAAGGAAAACAUUUUGAUACCAUACCUCAGCCCUGUGAGUUAUACCUUGGAAUCGUUGAGAGGUUUCAUUUAUUUUAGUGGCAAAUAGAUUCAAACAUUGAAUGGAGAAAAAAAAUGUAUAAAUCAUUGCACUGUGAGCAGUAAAGAAAGAACAGGCCAUUUCCUAUUUGCACAUGUAUAUGUUGGCUAUUUAAAAUGGUCCUGUCUCUGGGGUGAAGUAUGAAGGAUUAUUGGAUGUUGCUCCUCUCUAGAAUAGGCAUACACAAACAGCUUGGCAAAUAGCAAUUAACUGAUUAAUUACUACCAAUGUGUUGUGGUCAUGUCUUUGGAUUUCAUUGUAUUGUGUACGCCAACUUCUAAUCUAAAAUAUUGAUGCUAUUUUAGAUCCAGCCAAUAGAAGACACUGAAUAAAUUAUUCAUCCUGGUAACCAUAGCUGCUGCGCUAAUUUCUUACACAGUAUGUGUAGGGACAGGUUUUGCUCAAUUAUAGAGACAUUUAACGACAUGCUUUAAAGUGCAGUAAGAUUUGUAAACAUGAUGAUGGAAUGAGUGGUGUAUAUUCUGAUGUACUUUUCCUGCUGCAAAUAUGUUUGACAAUUCAUUUCACCUGAUGUUUCAUUUCAUUAGCUCUUUGGUUCAGAACAACCAGGUGAAGAAAAAUGCUGGAUGCUUUUGAAUGAUGUGGAGAUAUGAUCAAGUAAUAAUUGAAAUGAGAAAACGGAAGAGAACCAUUGUAAUGUUCAAAUGUAAAAGGAAAAAAAGAAAUACAAAACUUUUUAAAAAAAGAAAAAGAUGCUUCUUCACUGAUUUCAAUUUUGAAUCAGGGGAUUUUAUUGAUAUUUUUUGUGGUUACUAAUUGUAAUAUGAUAUUAUUAAAAUGUACUGUGCAUCCAUC